RNA transcript from Fragaria vesca subsp. vesca, 878 nucleotides. RefSeq lists it as uncharacterized. Lineage: Eukaryota; Viridiplantae; Streptophyta; Magnoliopsida; Rosales; Rosaceae. The record is from RefSeq and is a predicted model, not a curated record. The transcript has 3 exons.
AGAUUGCAAACUAAGAGUAAGAGAUGGCUCGUACCAAGCAAACUGCGCGCAAGUCAACUGGAGGGAAAGCUCCAAGGAAGAGUCUGGCCACCAAGAUUGCUUAUAAGUCUGCCCCUACCGCUGGAGGUGUGAAAAAGCCACACAGAUUCCGCCCUGGUACUGUUGCUCUUCGUGAAAUCCGCAAGUACCAGAAAAGUACUGAUCUCCUGAUCAGGAAGCUGCCAUUCCAGAGGCUUGUUCGUGAAACUGCACAGAACUACAAGAGUGACCUGCGUUUUAAUAGUCAUGCGAUACUGGCAUUGCAGGAGGCUUCUGAGGCUUACCUUGUGGGUCUUUUCGAGGACACCAAUCUCUGUGCUAUCCAUGCAAAGAGAGUUACAAUCAUGUCGAAAGAUAUGCAGCUGGCUCGGAGGAUCAGGGUUUUAUGUAGGGGCGGAGCCAAAAAUGUUCCAAAGAGGAAGAUCUAGAUGGCUCGUACUAAGCAAACUGCUCGCAAGUCAACCGGAGGAAAGGCUCCAAGGAAGAGUCUGGCCACCAAGAUUGCUUAUAAGUCUGCUCCUACGUCUGGAGGUGUGAAGAAGCCACACAGAUUCCGCCCUGGUACUGUUGCUCUUCGCGAAAUCCGCAAGUACCAAAAAAGCACUGAUCUCCUGAUCAGAAAGCUGCCAUUCCAGAGGCUUGUUCGAGAAAUUGCCCAAGAAUACAAGAGUGAUCUACGUUUUAAUAGCCAUGCGGUGUUUGCAUUGCAGGAGUCUGCUGAGGCUUACCUUGUGGGUCUUUUCGAGGACACCAAUCUCUGCGCUAUCCACGCAAGGCGAGUUACCAUCAUGCCGAAAGAUAUGCAGCUGGCUAGGAGGAUCAGGGGUGAGCGUUCUUAG